RNAcentral lists this ribosomal RNA (326 nucleotides) under Lactococcus lactis. RNAcentral describes it as "bacterial SSU rRNA". It matches the Rfam family "Bacterial small subunit ribosomal RNA", at positions 1 to 317 of the family's 1533-position model. The record is from RNAcentral. Lineage: Bacteria; Bacillati; Bacillota; Bacilli; Lactobacillales; Streptococcaceae.
UUAUUUGAGAGUUUGAUCCUGGCUCAGGACGAACGCUGGCGGCGUGCCUAAUACAUGCAAGUUGAGCGCUGAAGGUUGGUACUUGUACCGACUGGAUGAGCAGCGAACGGGUGAGUAACGCGUGGGGAAUCUGCCUUUGAGCGGGGGACAACAUUUGGAAACGAAUGCUAAUACCGCAUAAAAACUUUAAACACAAGUUUUAAGUUUGAAAGAUGCAAUUGCAUCACUCAAAGAUGAUCCCGCGUUGUAUUAGCUAGUUGGUGAGGUAAAGGCUCACCAAGGCGAUGAUACAUAGCCGACCUGAGAGGGUGAUCGGCCACAUUGGG